UAAGAUAGCAAGUCUUCCCCAGGUGUAUUAAUUAGAGACAGGAAGACCAGUCUGAGUCAGUAACAGGUGGGAUCACACGGUUCUAAUCUACAGCUACAAGAAACAUCAUGUAAUAUGAAAUCCAUAGAAAGGAGGAACAAGAAGUCAUGAACCUACAUGUGCCUGUCAAUCUUCUUGGACUCCCUGUAGCGACGCAGCAGACGACGCAGGAUCCUCAUGCGCCGCAUCCAGUUCAACUUUUCUGGCAUACGGGCAUUGGCAGUACCCUUUCUCUUACC
Molecule: long non-coding RNA, 278 nt
Organism: Lates calcarifer (barramundi perch)
Lineage: Eukaryota; Metazoa; Chordata; Actinopteri; Centropomidae
Exons: 2
Source: RefSeq, a predicted model, not a curated record